UACGUAGGGGGCUAGCGUUGUCCGGAAUCAUUGGGCGUAAAGAGCGUGUAGGCGGUCCGGUAAGUCCGUUGUGAAAGUCAGGGGCUCAACCCUUGAAUGCCGGCGGAUACUGUCGGGCUAGAGUCCGGAAGAGGCGAGUGGAAUUCCCGGUGUAGCGGUGAAAUGCGCAGAUAUCGGGAGGAACACCUAUGGCGAAGGCAGCUCGCUGGGACGAUACUGACGCUGAGACGCGAAAGCCAGGGGAGCGAACGGG
RNAcentral lists this ribosomal RNA (253 nucleotides) under uncultured bacterium. RNAcentral describes it as "partial 16S ribosomal RNA". It matches the Rfam family "Bacterial small subunit ribosomal RNA", at positions 524 to 776 of the family's 1533-position model. The record is from RNAcentral.